UUAAGUUCAGCGGGUAUUCCUACCUGAUCCGAGGUCAACCUUGGUAAAAUUGGGGUGUUUUACGGCGUGGCCGUGCUGGUCUCCGGUGCGAGGUGUGUUACUACGCAGGGGAUUACAGCGCGACCGCCACUGGGUUUAGGGGACGGGGGCCUUGCGGACCCCGAGCCCCAACACCAGGCCCGUCCCCCGGAAGGGAGGGC
RNAcentral lists this unclassified non-coding RNA (200 nucleotides) under uncultured Sarocladium. Its description in RNAcentral is "sequence contains ITS2". Lineage: Eukaryota; Fungi; Ascomycota; Sordariomycetes; Hypocreales. The record is from RNAcentral.